Non-coding RNA from Myotis lucifugus (little brown bat), 76 nucleotides. Lineage: Eukaryota; Metazoa; Chordata; Mammalia; Chiroptera; Vespertilionidae. The record is from Rfam.
GAGACACCCUUCUGGGGCAAGACUUGCUUCAGUGGGGCUUUGGUGCUCACUGAGUCUGCCCCCUGAGUGUAUCCCU